This 1145-nucleotide long non-coding RNA is filed under the name Medicago truncatula (barrel medic). RNAcentral describes it as "long non-coding RNA (MTRU_LNC008903)". Lineage: Eukaryota; Viridiplantae; Streptophyta; Magnoliopsida; Fabales; Fabaceae. The record is from RNAcentral.
AAUCCUCAGCAUAACAACCUAAAAAACUCAUCAUCCCAGUUUUUUUUUUCUUCUUAAUCUUCAUCUCGACCAUUAAAAAUAUCCAUUAACUCUUUUAACUUCCACUCAUAAUUUCCAUCCAAACAAACACAAAAACAAAAUUUCUUGCAUAAUGAUAUCUCUCUCUCUCUCAAAAAUCUUUGGCGCAAACAUUUUCUCACGAUCUCCUCUCAUUUUCGCAGACUUCGUCCUCCAUAAAUCAGUUUGGGUGUUAUCAUUUUUAUCUUUUAUUCAAUUUUCUAAACGAUUUUAUAAUAGAUGAUUUACAAAUUUGAUAGAUUAGUGUGAUUUGUAGAGGGAAGUGAAAUGGGUAAAUUUGAUUUUGAAGAUUUGGAUUGGUCGAUGAAAGAUGGUGCAAAUACAGUGAACAUGAAAUUAGGUGGAUUCAAUUUAUGUAAAAGAUUUGAAUCCAGCUUUGUGUUUAUGUCUUUUGAAGGUUUUUGAACAUUCUUGUAGCAUUCCUUUGUUCCUCUGUGAGUUGAGAGGGUUGGGGUUUGUUCAUGAUAAGAAAAAAUCAUGUGGCUCUACAGAAAACCAAAGAGCAUAAGACAACUUCAAAGCCAAAAGUGAUGAAUCAAAGUAAUAUUAUUGUUUUAAAGAUGAUUGUUUAAACCCUAAUGUUAUUGUUUUUGUGUUUAUGUUAGGCAUGGAAUUUGUGAGUAGAGGUGAAAGAGAUACCGGAAAAAGUGGAAGUAAAAGAGUUAAUGGUAGAGAUGAAGAUGAAUAUUUUUUUCCCUUCUGGGUUGUUAUGUAGAAGAUGAAGAUCAACAAGAAAAAAGAAGAGGAAGAAGAAGAAGAAAAGGAGAAAAAAUAAUUUAAUGUGGUUCAUCAUAAGAUAUAAUAGACUUGUAUGAUUUAACAGUCCCAUUUUUUAGAAAAAAAAUCAAGGGUUAAAAACUGACAUACAAUGUUGUCAGUUUAGAUAUCUAUGGUUAAAAACUGACGGAAGGGACCAUUUUGACAGACAGAGAUAGAGUUAAGGGACCAAAUCAAAACUUUUAUUAAAUAAGGGACCAAGAUGAAACUUGAAAAUUAAUUAGGGGAUCAAAUAUGUAAUUAAGCCUAUUAUAUCAGUCAUUUAGCAUAUAUAAUUUAAAUAUGUAAAC